AUGGCAUUGGUGCAGACGUAUGGGAAGCUUGACAUCUUUUUGACUAUGACAUGCAACCCUAGCUGGGAGGAGAUACUGAAUGAGUUGCUUCCUGGCCAGACACCCCAGGACUGACCAGAUCUUGUCGCACGCAUGUUCAGGGCCAAGCUGGAGACCAUGAAAGAGAUGUUGUUCAAGAAGCACAUCCUGGGUGUUGUGGUAGCGCAUGUGUAUGUCGUCGAGUUCCAGAAGAGGGGCCUUCCCCAUGCACACUUCAAAUUAUAA
RNAcentral lists this ribosomal RNA (264 nucleotides) under Triticum aestivum (bread wheat). Its description in RNAcentral is "partial small subunit ribosomal RNA". Lineage: Eukaryota; Viridiplantae; Streptophyta; Magnoliopsida; Poales; Poaceae. The record is from RNAcentral.